UGGGGAAUUUUGGACAAUGGGCGCAAGCCUGAUCCAGCCAUGCCGCGUGCGGGAAGAAGGCCUUCGGGUUGUAAACCGCUUUUGUCAGGGAAGAAAUCUUCUGAGUUAAUACCUCGGGAGGAUGACGGUACCUGAAGAAUAAGCACCGGCUAACUACGUGCCAGCAGCCGCGGUAAUACGUAGGGUGCAAGCGUUAAUCGGAAUUACUGGGCGUAAAGCGUGCGCAGGCGGUUUUGUAAGACAGAGGUGAAAUCCCCGGGCUCAACCUAGGAACUGCCUUUGUGACUGCAAGGCUUGAGUGCGGCAGAGGGGGGCAUGGAAUUCCGCGUGUAGCAGUGAAAAUGCGUAGAUAUGCGGAGGAACACCGAUGGCGAAGGCAAUCCCCCUGGGCCUGCACUGACGCUCAUGCACG
RNAcentral lists this ribosomal RNA (412 nucleotides) under uncultured bacterium. Its description in RNAcentral is "partial 16S ribosomal RNA". It matches the Rfam family "Bacterial small subunit ribosomal RNA", at positions 355 to 755 of the family's 1533-position model. The record is from RNAcentral.